UGGAGCAGUGGAAGGUAAAAGCAUGGCCAGAAUCUCCACAAGCAUCGCAAGUGAACUCACCGUCGCUAUAAGGUGGGGAAGGGACAAAAGAUAAAGAGUGUUUAGGGUGUGAUUUGUGUCUGAUUUGUCGCGGCAAUUCUAAGCAUGAUUUGUGGAGGAUAAAGUUGCAAGUUGGCUUAGUGCAAGUGUAGGCUAAAUUACUUUGAAUAUUUAGCUCACAGCCUGAGCAUAUGAUCUCUUCUUGUUGGUUUUUGUCUUCAGAUUCUAGGAGAUGUAGAGGAUGACGGUGGCUGAAAUGGCUGAAUUGCUUCAUCUCUCUGUCUCUUCUUUGCUGAUGUAUGUCAACUCUCUUUUGCUAUAAAUAUAU
This 367-nucleotide long non-coding RNA is filed under the name Panax ginseng (ginseng). RNAcentral describes it as "long non-coding RNA (PGIN_LNC003918)". The record is from RNAcentral. Lineage: Eukaryota; Viridiplantae; Streptophyta; Magnoliopsida; Apiales; Araliaceae.